ACACAUACAGUUAACUCUCGUUGUCUCGAACUCGGUUGACUCGAAAUUUCGGAUGAGUCGAAGUUUUCACGUGGUCCCGCACUUUAUUCCAUACAAAAGUAUGUAAUUCGACUCCUGAUGAGUCGAAAUUGGAUGAGUCGAAAUUUCGGUUGAGUCGAACUAAAUUUACGGUCCCAAGGAUAACUAAAGCAUUCAAAAUUCAUUUUUUAUCUCGAACUAAUUCACAUAUGUCAAAACAUGACCUCCGAGAUUUAACUGGAUUGAAGAGUUAAUCUGACAAUACACGUGUAAUUAAAUUUCCGGUCACUGACUACUGUAUUGAUUUAUGACAUGCUAUUUCCAUGAGUGUUUACCUAAGAUUAUCUUUUAUAGAAUUUUAUAAAUAAUUAGUGAUACAUUGUUAAUGUUCAUGAAAAAGUAUUUAAAAUGUUUACAAAACAAUUUAGUUUUGAUUUACACUAAUGAGCUUGGGUGUGUAUAAAGUGAGGAUUAUGGCUUCCGUUGGUGAUCACCUAAAAACUACUCAAACGGCGUCUUUAAUCUUGUUAUAUUUUCUUUUGAAAAGAAAGAGUGAGAUAAAACAAAAUGAAUAGAAAUCAAAUUUUUUUUAAAUCUCUUGUAUCCGAGAAUAAACAAUUUUGUCAGCUAUAAUAAACCGACCUGAAUAACGAAACUAUCGAUUGGAAAUUACUCUCUUGGAAAAGCCAUAGGAUUUUUUUUAUUUAUUGAUACAAUUGAAUAAGUAAAAAUAAUGUUAUUAUAAUAAUAAAAGACUGUGACAUACAAAUACAUCGAUCUGAUACUAGAAUAUCGAUCCCCUUGCCAUAUUCAACCGGAUUUAUUUUAGCUUUACCAAGCUAAGCAAGAGUUGUGUCCCUUAGAUUGUCGAACUUCCGGUGUUCGUUUGAGUCGAACUACGUGUAUCUCGAAAUAUUUCUCUGGUCCGGCUGACUUCGACAUAACGAGAGUCGACUGUA
Molecule: long non-coding RNA, 977 nt
Filed under: Mytilus galloprovincialis (Mediterranean mussel)
Lineage: Eukaryota; Metazoa; Mollusca; Bivalvia; Mytilida; Mytilidae
Source: RNAcentral